GAUGAACGCUAGCGACAGGCCUAACACAUGCAAGUCGAGGGGCAGCACGGUGUAGCAAUACACGGGUGGCGACCGGCGCACGGGUGAGUAACGCGUAUGCAACCUGCCUACUACAAGGGGAUAACCCGUUGAAAGACGGACUAAUACCCUAUAACACAGGGAAUCCGCAUGGAUAUAUUUGUUAAAGAUUUAUCGGUAGUAGAUGGGCAUGCGUUCCAUUAGCUUGUUGGUGAGGUAACGGCUCACCAAGGCAACGAUGGAUAGGGGAACUGAGAGGUUGAUCCCCCACACUGGAACUGAGACACGGUCCAGACUCCUACGGGAGGCAGCAGUGAGGAAUAUUGGUCAAUGGACGAGAGUCUGAACCAGCCAAGUCGCGUGAAGGAAGACGGCCCUACGGGUUGUAAACUUCUUUUGUAAGGGAAUAAAUAGUCUUACGCGCUAAGACGUUGCAGGUACCUUACGAAUAAGGAUCGGCUAACUCCGUGCCAGCAGCCGCGGUAAUCAUACUCG
This 513-nucleotide ribosomal RNA is filed under the name uncultured bacterium. RNAcentral describes it as "bacterial SSU rRNA". It matches the Rfam family "Bacterial small subunit ribosomal RNA", at positions 28 to 529 of the family's 1533-position model. The record is from RNAcentral.